RNAcentral lists this transfer RNA (85 nucleotides) under bacterium. RNAcentral describes it as "tRNA-Leu". It matches the Rfam family "tRNA". Rfam says of the family: Transfer RNA (tRNA) molecules are approximately 80 nucleotides in length. Their secondary structure includes four short double-helical elements and three loops (D, anti-codon, and T loops). Further hydrogen bonds mediate the characteristic L-shaped molecular structure. tRNAs have two regions of fundamental functional importance: the anti-codon, which is responsible for specific mRNA codon recognition, and the 3' end, to which the tRNAs corresponding amino acid is attached (by aminoacyl-tRNA synthetases). tRNAs cope with the degeneracy of the genetic code in two manners: having more than one tRNA (with a specific anti-codon) for a particular amino acid; and 'wobble' base-pairing, i.e. permitting non-standard base-pairing at the 3rd anti-codon position. RNAcentral also lists the same sequence under 4 other names. The record is from RNAcentral.
GCGGGCAUGAUGGAACUGGCAGACAUGCAAGAUUUAGGUUCUUGUGCAGAGAUGCGUUGGGGUUCAAAUCCCCAUGCCCGCACCA